This 69-nucleotide transfer RNA is filed under the name Triticum aestivum (bread wheat). It matches the Rfam family "tRNA". Rfam says of the family: Transfer RNA (tRNA) molecules are approximately 80 nucleotides in length. Their secondary structure includes four short double-helical elements and three loops (D, anti-codon, and T loops). Lineage: Eukaryota; Viridiplantae; Streptophyta; Magnoliopsida; Poales; Poaceae. RNAcentral also lists the same sequence under 1 other name. The record is from Rfam by way of RNAcentral.
UUCAUUGCUUAGUUGGUAAAGCACAAAGCUCUUAACCUUGUGGACGUAGGUUCAUGCCCUACGAUGGAA